UGAGAGGUGACACUAUACAUAUUAUAUGUGGGUGGACGUGUGACGGAGUACAACUGUACAAGCAUAGAAUGCACACAUUUCAUAUACCACUUCUGCUAUUGAAAUAUAUACAAAGAAAUAUAAAUCUUAUGUUAUCAUAUUCGAAUGUUAACUAUGUUUAUUACAUUCUGCAUGUCCCAUGUAUAGAUGCAUGAAAGGAAGAGUUAUAAGGCCUUGUAUAUUUUUGCAGAGGAAAGUUUGAUGUGGAAAAGGGCAUCAUCUUAUUCACCAGUCAUUCUAGUCCUUGAGCACGGAAGGAUAGUCAAAUAUCUCAGCACAAAUAGUUGCGGCCUGGAUUUAAGCUGUCUUCAAAGCCGCAUAUGUUGCACACCACUCUGACUACUUGGAUGCAAACAGAAGCAUUUCGACUCAGCAAGUGACAGGCAGGAAAGUGCAUUAGUGCACUCAGAGCGGCCUCAGCCUACAGCCCGGGUGGAUUUAGGGACCCAAGCUGUAUUCCAUGGACUCCAUGUGGCAAGACUGGCAGCUGGGCCUUGCUAAAGAAAAGCUGGUACUUGUGGAUUCUGACCUGAAUGAAGACUAAGAGACAAUUGGUGUAAACUCAAGACAGAAGCAUACUGAUGAUAGUAAAGGUGCUGACCUGCAUGCUGCUUCUUCUUGCGCUUGACAGCCAUAG
Molecule: long non-coding RNA, 676 nt
Filed under: Pomacea canaliculata
Lineage: Eukaryota; Metazoa; Mollusca; Gastropoda; Architaenioglossa; Ampullariidae
Description: uncharacterized LOC112570571, transcript variant X1
Source: RNAcentral